Molecule: ribosomal RNA, 120 nt
Filed under: uncultured bacterium
Lineage: Bacteria
Description: partial 16S ribosomal RNA
Rfam family: Bacterial small subunit ribosomal RNA
Source: RNAcentral
UCGCUUGAAGAGGAGCUUGCGGCAGAUUAGCUAGUUGGUAAGGUAAUGGCUUACCAAGGCUACGAUCUGUAUCCGGUCUAAGAGGACGGUCGGACACACUGACACUGAAUAACGGGUCAG